GUAAAUUUUAAAUUAUUUAUCAGCUAAAUUAUUUUUAAGCAAACACACGUAGAAAUUAAAGAAGAAAUUAUCCUUGCUUAAAUAUCACAAAAUAAAAAUUAACAAAGAGAAGGCAGAAACCAAUCAGAGGACGACCCUGACUCGAUCAAGACUCCUAGCACUCCAUCAACUAUGGUAAAUAAACAACACGACUACAUGGAACAAAGCUUAUAACAACUAGCAACAUACAACUCCACGACCUUGAGUACUAGUGCUCUAUACAUAUGUAAAGAAGCGCCUAGCAGUUGGGGAAUGGGGAGCCACAAGUGGUAGCUACCUUCUUGGCGUUUGGAGAGUUGACAAGCUUUUGGAGGUUUGGAUUUUUCAAGUACUGGCAAAGGCAAGGCCUCUGCUCCUUUAACUUGCUGCAACAAAUGGCUGAGGGUGGGCUUGAAGAUGUCAUUGCACUUGCACAUGGGCUUAACGCAAGUGGGUUACAUGUCACUGCCUGGGACACAUCCAGGAUCUCCCCAGAUAACACAACCACCACAACCAAACAGGCAACACAUGACAUUGUCAUUUUCAUUUUCACAGAACACACCAGAGCCUAGAGGAGACUGGAGAGGCUGUUUCUGUAUGUGGG
This 622-nucleotide unclassified non-coding RNA is filed under the name Hevea brasiliensis (rubber tree). Lineage: Eukaryota; Viridiplantae; Streptophyta; Magnoliopsida; Malpighiales; Euphorbiaceae. The record is from RNAcentral.